ACGCAGCAGGCGAGAAUUUUUCUCAAUGGGCGAAAGCCUGAAGGAGCGACGCCGCGUGGGGGGAUGAAUGGCUUCGGCCCGUAAACCCCUGUCAUUUGUGAACAAAUUGCUUCACCUAACACGUGAAGCAUUGAUUGUAACGGAAGAGGAAGGGACGGCUAACUCUGUGCCAGCAGCCGCGGUAAUACAGAGGUCCCAAGCGUUGUUCGGAUUCACUAGGCGUAAAGGGUGCGUAGGCGGUUUGAUAAGUCUGAUGUGAAAUCCCGCAGCUUAACUGCGGAACUGCAUUGGAAACUGUUUGACUAGAGGAAUGGAGGGGAGACUGGAAUACUUGGUGUAGCAGUGAAAUGCGUAGAUAUCAAGUGGAAUACCAGUGGCGAAGGCGAGUCUCUGGACAUUUCCUGACGCUGAGGUACGAAAGCCAGGGGAGCAAACGGGAUUAGAUACCCGUGUAGU
RNAcentral lists this ribosomal RNA (456 nucleotides) under uncultured organism. Its description in RNAcentral is "bacterial SSU rRNA". It matches the Rfam family "Bacterial small subunit ribosomal RNA", at positions 346 to 794 of the family's 1533-position model. The record is from RNAcentral.